GCCAGGCACCUGCGGGCCGCGCUCAUUGGCCGAGCGAGCCGGAACCCUCGGCCAAUCAGAGGAGACCACGAGGACACCUUUCGGUAAGGUUCGGCAAAGAUCCAACUCCGGGGAACGUUCAGAUCUGUGACCAAGGUGUGUAGUUUCUCUGAUAGCGCCACCUGGUGGAAAGAUGCAAAAAACGAUGACGGCAAGGUUGUCUUCUGACAUCUCUGGUUGAGUCAACACAUUGAAGGAGUUUUGCUCACCAUGUAGGCGUCGGGCCCUUGCAGUUGCUUAUGUCGAGGGUGAAGGCUCUGGAUGGAGCUCUGGACGGAGAUGCCAAAAUACAAGCUCGUAGGACUCGGGAACUAAUGAUCGAGCAACUCGUUCGCAGCGAUGCAGCUACUUUGCAUAUCAAAUUUGCAAAGGAAUCCAAGUUGUUUUUUCAAAUAAAUCAGGUAAUUUGAACCUUAUUAGGAUGUUGCAUCACGGUUUUUAAUCUAAAUAGUUUUUACAGUUUUUAUAACCUGCUCUUUUGCACAUUGCUAUUUAUUAUGUGUCAAGAAUUACGCAGUUCCUUCCUACGACCAUUCAGCUCAAUUCUUUUUCUAUUUUUUUAUUUGAGUGUAGACAAAAUACAUGCACUUCCAACAGCUUUUAGCUAACCAGCCACGUGUUGUUUGUUGUCUUUCGGGUUAGAGCAACGCCGGCAUCUGGUCUGUUGACUGCCGCUUCUGUUCCGGACCGUGUACGCUACUUGUUUCGCGUUUUCUCUUUUUCAAUGUGUCUCAUUUUGUUUUACUCGUGUUGUCUUGUUUGCUGUUUUCUGUGUCUCUCCCGUCCACCGCGCAUCUCCGCAGCUCCAGUCGCACUUAUCUGUUCCCUCUCUCUCAGACUACCAGCUACGUUAGCCAGCUAGCUAACAGCCAGCUGGCUAAACCACCACCCUCCUGCCUCCUGGCUUGCUCUGGACUCGGGUGGACCCAAAUUUGGAUCUGCUACCUCUUCCCCCUUGGUUAUGUCAUCCACAAAUUCAACCUGGACUUCCACUGUUACGCUGAUGACAACCAGAUCUACAUACGCCCCACACCCACCCGAAACCCUCCCCUCACCCACCUUGAAACUUGCAUCUCUACAAUAAAAACACGGCUGACCCACAACUUCCUCAAACUCAACAGUGACAAAACAGAGCUCCUCCUCAUAGGCACUAAAUCCAUCCUUAAUAAAACUGGACCCAUCUCACUCACCAUCGACUCCUCGACCAUCCCUCCCUCCCCUCUGGCAUGCAAACUCUUCGAUAUCCAGGACCCCACCCUCUCCUUCCACCCUCAUGUUAGCUCCGUUGUCAAGACCUCCUACUUCCUCUGUUGCAUCACCAAAAUCCGACACUGCCUCUCUCUUCCUGCUGCUGAAUCCCUCAUCCAUCUCCUCCCGGCUUGACUACUGCAACUCCCUUCUCAUUGGCAUCACUGCUCCCUCCAUUGACUUCAACUAGUCCACAACACUGUUGCCGCCCUCCUUACCCACACCUCACCUGUUUUCCUGUAAGCAUCUUUGGGUCCUUGAAAAGGGCUAUAUA
Syngnathus typhle (broad-nosed pipefish) is the source of this 1561-nucleotide long non-coding RNA. RefSeq lists it as uncharacterized. The record is from RefSeq and is a predicted model, not a curated record. NCBI's taxonomy places the organism in Eukaryota, Metazoa, Chordata, Actinopteri, Syngnathiformes, Syngnathidae. The transcript is spliced from 3 exons.